Molecule: transfer RNA, 138 nt
Filed under: Actinomycetota bacterium
Lineage: Bacteria; Bacillati; Actinomycetota
Description: tRNA-Ser
Source: RNAcentral
GAGCGUGGUUCAGCUUGCGCUGGCGAAUUCGAACCCGAGACAAAGUACGUGCAAUGACCGGGUUUCUGGGCGGUCUCGAAAACCGUUAUCCGUCGUUAGGCGGAUCGAGGGUUCGAAUCCCUCCCCCUCCGCUUUCCA